Pteronotus mesoamericanus is the source of this 1866-nucleotide long non-coding RNA. RefSeq lists it as uncharacterized. The transcript has 6 exons. The record is from RefSeq and is a predicted model, not a curated record. NCBI's taxonomy places the organism in Eukaryota, Metazoa, Chordata, Mammalia, Chiroptera, Mormoopidae.
UCUGACUGUAGAGAGUGCAGCCUCGCGCUUCCUGUGCAGGGCCAACCAGGCCACGCUCGCUCGGGUUGGCUGUAAGCAGACCCGGGCACGUGUAAGGCCAUUUAAUCGGCUUCCCACUGUUGUGUGAUUCCUUUUUGCAGAGGAGCUAAUUCCUUGGGACUCAGCUGAGGCCAAGAGAACAGUGAGGGAGAAGGCAGGUGGCACCAAAUGAAGAAAAAAGCAAGCUCCCUGGAGCAGACGACCCUCUCUGGCCUCCAGAGAUGCUGAGGGAGGCUGCUUUCAGGCGGUACCUUUUCUUUAUUGUUUCUCCAUCUUUCACCUGGUUCUGGCAGGACACAGAUUGGAGUUGGUACAGGCUGUCACAGCCUCACUCUUUGCUUAAGAGUCAGGGUAAUCGUGACAUGUCAAGUUUAUCUGGAUAAGAUUUUAGAAGAUUCACUUCUAACCUGAAAGCUCAGAGGAAUCGCGGCUUUACCUCCAGGGAUGAGCAGGUCUUAUUGGCCCAUUUUAGAGCCGAGGAAGCUGAAGCUCUGAGGAGUGAAGGGAACAGCCCAAAGGAACAAAAUUGUGAGUUGCAGAGUGGAGAUUCCAACACGUUUGUUUCGUUCUAUCUUCCACCCCCUGUCAUUCCCUGCUUCCUUAGCUGGAACUCUCCAUCAGCCAGGGCUGCCUGCUCCUGAUUUGAUGAAACUUGCUGACAAUGAAAACCACAAGGGCUUCAUGAUAAGAGAGGAGCCAACGGGGCUGAGCCUUGUUGGAGUAUCACGUGGAUGUGGCCGCAGCUUCAUUCUCAGAAGACGGGCAACCCAGGCACACUAGAUGAAGUUGAAUGAUGAAAUUAUGUGACGGAUUCUUUGUGCAACAUGCCAAAUACUAUGGAGCAAUACCAUUGCUGGUUACUGAUAUUUAUCUGAGGAGAGAAACACCACGUGAAGACAGAGGCACGCAGGAGAGAAUGCCAUGUGGUAUAGCUGCAAGCCAAGGAAUGCCUGGGGCUGCUGAAGAGUGGGAAGGCGGUUUUCUAUCAUUCUCCUGCCCUGAAGUGAAUGAGAGCAGAAUGGGAAAUAUGGAAAAGGAACAGCUAGGACAGGGGCAGGAACCCAUACGUACUGAACACCUAUGUCUGCAUCCUCCCACUGGGGAGCUUGCAAAUGUCUCAUUUGCCCCGCACGCGCUGCAAGGACAAUGAUGAGCAGCUCUUACUGGACCAGCCAACUGUAUUGCCUUUCUCUCCUGGGACGUGCUUACCAGGAAGAUGGACAAGACCCAAUAGACAGAACCGGUCCAACUUGGGGAAUCUGCUCAUGCAGCAUUAUGCGUGGGGGUGGUGUGGUAAUGAGGGCCUAAGGAUUAGAGUUCUCUUCCUGAAAAGAAGCAGCUGGCCUUGGGGAAAGACCACACACACCUUUAUGCUUCCCUGUGUCAGAACUGACAACUCUGGGAGUUAAUAAUGCCAAACGGAAAUGUCUCUAUUUAAAUGGUUGAAUGUUGUGUUACGCGGAAGUAGGAAGGCUGGAACUCACCUCCCUGAACUCCAAUCCUGGCUUCACCAAUCCAGCUUUGUGUCUUUAGGCAGGUUGUGACCCUCCUGUUUGCCUCAGUUUCCUCAUCUGUAAAAUGGGAAUAAUAACAUCCCUCCUCUGCCCAAGGGGAUGGUAUAAGUAAUAAAUGCAUUCAUAUUUGAAAAAUGCUUAAGACGAUGCCUUUCAAAAUGUAAACAUUCAAUAACUAUUAGCUCUUUAAAUAAUUAUUUUCCACAGUUCUUAGAAAAUGGCGGGUAUCUUACUCUCGCAAGCGAGGCUGGGGUUGUCCUUGUGCAUGUGUGUCAUGGGGGGCCUUGCCCUCCUUUGAUUCAUUCUCCAGUUU